RNAcentral lists this long non-coding RNA (4956 nucleotides) under Accipiter nisus (Eurasian sparrowhawk). RNAcentral describes it as "lncRNA (ENSANIG00000017562.1)". The record is from RNAcentral. Lineage: Eukaryota; Metazoa; Chordata; Aves; Accipitriformes; Accipitridae.
UCACCCCCACCCGCGCUCCUCCGCCCUCACAGGCUCAUCCCCUGCGCCCCGGCUAACGUCCGCCGCCUGACAGAUGCCGCCGCCGGUGCCGCCCGCCGACCGCCCAUCCACCGAGCGCCCGCCGGCUGCUGCUGCUGCCGCCGCCGCCGCCGCCGCUCCUCGCCCCCACCCCGGCAAACGCGGAAGCCGCCGCUCACAGCCUCUUCGCUGCCUUAGCCGUUGCCCGCAACGCAACGGCCUCCGGCACUUCCACGCUAACGGCGCAGGCGCGGCGCCGCAAGGGCUCUCGGGAGCGGUAGUCUUCUCGGCGGCCGAGGCCCGGCGCGCGGAAGGCAGCGGGAGCGCGCGAGGACUACAGGGACCGCGACACCAGGCGGCGGAGGGAGGGCGGGGGCGGGGCGAGCCGGGCCGGCCGCGCCGCCCCGCGGGGUUUCUGGGGAGCGUAGUCUUCUGCCGGCCGGGCCGCGGAGGAGGGGGAGCCGGGAGGGACACGCUUAGGGCGCUUCGCGAGCGCUUGGGGCGCCGCCCGCGCUGGACCGUGGGGGAAGGGCAGGGUGCUGUGUUUCAGGAGGAUUUCACCUUAGGUGAAAUUUGCUUAUACUGAAGGCAGGGUGGUUGAGAUUCUCACUGAUAUCUCGGUCUUGUGUUGUGGCUGUACAGGAGUGAGAUAGCCUGAGUAGCCACAGAAGAGUCUCUGGUGCAGAGAACUGAACUUGGAAAGAGUGCGAAUUUACAGUCGCCCAGGGGCUCCACCACCACAGCAAUGUCAUGGAGGGGCCAGGGCUGCCUCUGCAGGUUGUGGUUCAGACUGGAAUCUUUUUCCCAGGCUGUCAGCAAGCCAACCCAUCACUUGCAGGAGGACCAUGUCUUUCUCAAGCCACCUAGUUUGUGUCAAACUGCAUGUAAAGCAGGAAAAAUGGAUUCUCUCAGGUCAAAGAAAGAUUUGUAGUGGUUUUCACACAUGCAAAAAAAAGGACUAGAAGAGACUGCCAGUUGUUCAGCCUCCCCAACUGAUAAAAGCUGCUGUUUAUGACUGUCCUUUUGUUUUUCUUCCUGCUAGCUCUGUGUUCUUUUUAAGUGUCAGGAAAACUCUUGAAUGAAUUGUAUAUUAUUGUUAGAUAACUGAGGUGGGUUUCAAUUAAAAUGGAUUCUUUUUACAAUUUUUAAUUUCAGACAAGGAAUAAACAAUACAAGAGUACCUUGUUAGAGCUUUGGAAUUCGAAAUCCUGGCGCUGGUAUGGGAUGAGCACCAACAAAACUAGGUACUUUAUCCAGUGUUUUAGAAGUACAAGAAUGUUGUGAUGAUACAUCAGGUUAUAGGCUACUCUGGGGUCGAACAGGUCUUUCCUUUUGGGAGAGGGGGAAAGAACAUUUUUUGUUCUGUUUCUGGCUUUGUCCUGAUACAGGAGAAAACCUUCCAAGACUUUUUCCUCACUGAGGUUCUUUGGGAGAGAAGGGAAAGGAGAGUGGAUACAUCUAUUAUUCAGUCUUGCCUCUACCAAUUUAAUCCAAUGCAGAAAUAGUGUUCUAAUACUGAAAGAUUAAUUCCUGAAAAUCUAGGCCUUACAGGAAAGGUUUAGUUGUGUUAAUCAAACACUUUCUCCCAAGUAUAUAACAUGGCAAGAAUCCCUCUUGUCACUUUUUGGCGUUGCUUCUGCAUAACAGGGGUGAAUCUCUUGAAUGGGUCAAGCUGCAUAACCUUUUUGUCUGGAGAUUUGCCUUUUGGAAGUUGUACUGAAAAUAGUUCUCUGUGUGACUGUAUUCUAAACAAUUACACAUGGAAGAUGGAUCAAGGACACCCGCAUGGACAUAGUGUUAAAUGUAUGCAAGACUUAUGAGAAACAGAAGGUUACAAAGAUCAUAGAAUAGUUUGGGUUGGAAGGGACCUUUAAAUAGGUCAUGUAGUCCAACCCCCCCCUGCAAUAAGCAGGGACAUCUUCAACUAGAUCAGGUUGCUCAGAGCCCCAUCCAACCUGCCCUUGAACCUGCCCUUCAGGGAUUGGGCAUCUACACCCUCUCUGGGCAACCUGUUCCAGUGUUUCACCAUCCUCAUCAUAAAAAAAUCUCUUCCUUAUACGUAGUCUGAAUCUAGACUCUUUUAGUUUAAAACCAUUGCUCCUUGUCCUAUUGCAACAGGUCCUGCUAAAAAGUUUGUCCCCAUCUUUCUUAUAAGCCCCCUUUAGGUAUUGAAAGGCCACAAUGACGUCUCCCCAGAGCCUUCUCUUCUUCAAGCUGAACAACCCCAACUCUCUCAGCCUGUCCUCAUAGGAGAGGUGCUCCAGCCCUCUGAUCAUUUUUGUGGCCCUGUUCUGGACCCACUCCAACAGGUCCACGUCUUUCCUUUGAUGGGCACCCUCGACCUGCUGGUCACACUUCUUUUGAUGCAGCUUGGGAUACAGUUGGCUUUCUGGGCUGUGAGUGCACAUUGCCAGCUCAUGUCCAGUUUUUCAUCCACCAGUACCCCCAAGUCCUUCUCUGCAGGGCUGCUCUCAAUCCCUUCAUCCCUCAGCCUGUACUGAUACCAGGGGUUGCCUCGACCUGGGUGCAGGACCUUGCACUUGACCUUGUUGAACCUCAUGAUGUUCACAUGGGCCCANNNACCUGCAAACCUGCUGAGGGUGCACUCGAUCCCACUAUGUCAUUGUUGAAGAUAUUAAACAGUACUCAUCCCAAUACAGACCCCUGAGGGACACCACUUGUCACUGAUCUCCAUCUGGACAUUGAGCCAUUGACCACUACCCUCUGGAUGCGACCAUCCAAGCAAUUCCUCAUCCACCGAACAAUCCGCCCAUCAAAUCCAUCUCUCUCCAAUUUAGAGAGAAGGUUAUUGUGGGAGACCGUGUCAAAGGCCUUACAGAAGUCCAGAAAGAUGACAUCCAUAGCUCUUCCCUUGACCAGUGAUGUAGUCACUCCAUCAUAGGAGGCCACUAGGUUCGUCAGGUGGGAUUGCCCUUGGUGAAGCCAUGCUGGCUGUCUCGAAUCACCUCCCUGUCCUCCACAUGCCUUAGCGUAGCUUCUAGGAGGAUCUGUUCAGGCACAGAAGUGAAGCUGACAGGUCGGUAGUUCCCAUGAUGUUUAAAUGUACGUCAGCUUUCUAUGAUAAAUGAUCUAAAAAAAUCUGGCAAUUUUCCAAGUUCAUAUUGUGGACCAUCAGCGCAGUUUUAAAGAAGCUGUCAGUCAGAAAGAGAAAUGUUCAACACAACAGUAAUUGUUGCAGCAGCUCCAGUGGUGGAAGCCGUAGAAGGCUAAAGGAAAGAGUGAGACCAGAAGUGAAUUAUAGGUGCUGCUUAUUCCUUCCUUUCCUCAAAGAUGUGGCUUUUAGCUGUACCUUUUUGUCUCACUCCUUUGCUUAAUUAGAAGUGGGGAAGGAAGGAACUACGCAAACUGUACUGAAGGGCCACUAAUGUAGCAAUCAUUCUUUUAAGAUAUACUAGGACAUCAGAUUAACUAUGCCAGACCAUCAGAUCGAGCUCUUUGUCUAGGAUUCACUUUUGCCCACUCUGUAGUCUCUGUUUUCUUUCUUGCAUCUCAGGAUACAAGAGCUGUUUCCUUUCUCAGUAGUCUCUCGCCUUUCUCUUUUUGCCACUCAAAAAUUUCACCCGUGCCCCGUCUGUGCUUGGAACAACCUCCCUCGUCUCACAUUCUGUCUCUAGGGCCUUCCUGAAAUUCUCCUUUUUUUGGUGAAGCCUCCAAGCUGGUACCAUCUUCUUAGGCGUGCCACGGGUGAACCUCAUCUGGCCGUACUCGGAACCACGAGUCUGAUACACAGAAGUGUUUUGAGGCAGGAUUGUGCAAAUUAAAGGUGGGGUGGGCUUUUCUGUGCUGCAUCUUGUGGAGAAGAAAGCGUGGCAGGAAGCACGGAAGAAGCCGCCAGAAGACAACAAAUGUUCCUUGAGACAAACCGAUAACUCUGUUUUUACCACAUCCUGCUGUGAGAAAUGAGCGCUGAAAGUGACGACUGAAGAAAAAAGGCAAAAUAAUACCUAGAAGAGAGAAGGGGGAGGACGCUUCUGCACCCCGUCUCCAACGUCUCUUUCCUCCUUCCAGCCCGAUUAAUUCAUUUUUGCUGGCCAGAUGAACGAAACGCUGGCAUCGAAAAUCCAUCUUCGCUGCCCGUGCCAGGGCCCGACGGCUUUGCCGUUGACGGAGUGCCCCAGCAUUACGCAGGCGAGGCGCACCAGUCCCCGCGAAGGGCUCAGCACCGCAGGCGCCGCUGCAGGGCACCGUCACCCGCACCCCGCACCCCGAAACCGGCUCCCGCGGCGGAGCGCGCCCUGCCCGCUUGGUGCCGGGCGUGGGGAAGACCCCGUCGCCCUGGAUUAUCCGGGCGGUUUAACUGGAGGCCGGAGGAGCCCGGUAAUCCGGCCUUGAAUCCCACAUCCCAGUGCGGGCCGGCCGCCGCAGGCUCUGCAAGGCAGCAGGCGCAGCUCUGCCCGCGCCUGUCCCUCGGGCGGCUGCAGCCUGCGGGCCCUCCGCGGCAGCGGGCCGGGGCCGGGGCAGGCCGCUGGCGGCCGGGGCCGGGGCCGGGGCCGGGGCCGGGGCCGGNNNNNNNNNNNNNNNNNNNNNNNNNNNNNNNNNNNNNNNNNNNNNNNNNNNNNNNNNNNNNNNNNNNNNNNNGGGAGGGAGGGAGGGAGGGGAGGUGAGGCGGGGGGCGGGAGCCCGUCCGCCGGCGGCUGCGGCAGGAGGAGGGCGGCUGACGCGGCGGGGGAGGCAGCGCGCGCCCCGCCGGGAAGGAGGAAGAGGCCAGCGCCGGCGGGCGGGCGGACGGACGGACGGACGGACACCCCGACACCCCCCCGGCCCGCCCGGCGGCAGGCAGGUACGCGGGGUGCAGCGGUGCAGAUGCCGGUGGCCGCUGGCGGGCGGCAGGGGGCCGGGCGUUUUACAGAGGGGCCGUUCGGGGCCACGGAGGUCCAGCGGCAAGGGGGGGCGGGGGGGGGGGGGGGGGCGGCCGUG